GACGAACGCUGGCGGCGUGCUUAACACAUGCAAGUCGAACGGAAAGGCCCUGCUUUUGUUGGGUGCUCGAGUGGCGCACGGGUGUGUAACACGCGUGUAUCCUGCCCUUGUCUUUGUGGUAUCUUCAGGAAACUGGGGCUCUUACCGGAUAGGAGCUCCUGCUGCAUGUUGGUGGUUGGAAAGUUUCGGCGGUUGGGGAUGGACUCGCGGCUUAUCAGCUUGUUGGUGUGGUAGUGGCUUACCAAGGGUUUGACGGGUAGCCGGCCUGAGAGGGUGACCAGCCACAUUGGGACUGAGAUACGGCCCAGACGCCUACGGGAGGCAGCAGUGGGGAAUAUGGCACAAUGGGCGGAAGCCUGAGGCGGCAACGCCGCGUGCGGGAUGACGGCCUUCGGGUUGUAAACCGCUUUCGCCUGUGACGAAGCGGGAGUGACGGUAAUGGGUAAAGAAGCACCGGCUAACUACGUG
RNAcentral lists this ribosomal RNA (468 nucleotides) under uncultured bacterium. Its description in RNAcentral is "partial 16S ribosomal RNA". It matches the Rfam family "Bacterial small subunit ribosomal RNA", at positions 28 to 507 of the family's 1533-position model. The record is from RNAcentral.